AUGAACCCUACCCGCAAGCUAUGGCCAUCCAAGGUAAGUGCGGGCAAAAGCCCGCCGCCAUAGCGUCCCGCAAGGGAUAGGGUAGGGAAGGAGGA
This 95-nucleotide non-coding RNA is filed under the name unclassified sequences. RNAcentral describes it as "DUF1874 RNA". It matches the Rfam family "DUF1874 RNA". Rfam says of the family: Hot springs metagenome only. Environment (Bison Hot Springs, Yellowstone) The record is from RNAcentral.